GUCACGGCAUUGUGCUGCUUCAUGUCGUUACUCAGCGCCGACAAAAAAAACCCUCUGCACUGAAAACAGAAAGGCGUAUUAAAAGCUGUCACAGUGCUCUCCAACUAAACAGAGUCCAACUAAACUCCAUUAACCGAGUGUGUCUAAUGGAGCGGAUGAGUGAGCCGUGUUGGCCCGGCUGUGUUAAGAGCCCGGAGCAUGCUUUCUUUGCGCUGAUGGGAUCUCUGGCAACCGAUCGGAACGGACGGAACACUCAGCGGACCGGCGACUCGGCCCAAAUUGGCAGCGGCAGCACGUAAGUCAAUAGCAAGCUCAAAAAAAGAAACAAAACAGCCUGUUCUUGGCACAAACGCCUCUGGCCUUAGAUAACCAGGCCUCUCAGAGAUUGAGAGAACUAAGAGCAGAGAAAUGGAAGAGAGGAGGAGGCUUUAAGCCUCUUAGGGAAGUCACCACUCGAGCAGGAGGCAACGGGAUCCAUCGAUUUUGACGCUAGUGGAUUUUUCAAUUCAGCUUCCAUGAAAAGCUCCGCUGGUCUCUCCGUGACAUCACCGGCCUCCUCGGGCGAGGCGCGGGCCAAUCAGAGGGGCUCCAUCAGUCAGUUGUCAUGGCGAUGGUGUGUGUAAGAGUCGAUGUGGGUAUGCUCGAACGCUCGUGAACGCUCUCACACACACGUGCACACACAGGGCUGUCAGUGUGGGGAUCAGGAACGUACCAUGUGUCUCAUUUCCAGGCUUGAGACAGCACUGAGGAAGGUUCAGUACAGCACAUAAUCUAAACCAAUAGCCCCACAGAGAGUGUGGGGGAAAAAAAUACCAUCCCAGGUGAGAACAAUGAGUUUGUUUCUUUAAAUAUAAAAAAUAAAGGAUCCGUGUGUGUGUGUGUGUGUGAGUGUGUGUGCUGGUGAGAGAGCUGCUGCCUAAAGAAGUUGAGCUUUGCUUGCCAAGCUUGUUUCCCUUUUCAGAUCAACACUGUCAAUAUUGUACGCCUUGCAUUUUUCACACUUCUGUAAUCCCUACAGAAAGCCCGACCCAUGAGUCGCUUUGAUCUAUUUCAGUCUUCAGCAUUUCCACAGCCUCCUAAUAUGGAUCGCUCGGUACAUGCGCAGGAAUUCGCCGGCGUAGAAACUCCAACGCUUUCAUCGACGGUGUCAGUGUCUCCGAGACGAUGAUUAAUAGCAAUGGAUUAGAAGUCUGUUUGCAUUCGGGCGAGGAGAGAAGUGACAGGCGGUGACGUGUUGUCCAUAAAAACGAGAGACGGACGCCGGACGCGGAAUGCGAAAACGACUCGCUGCUGUCGGACGUUGCUCAUAUUCAUGGAACGGACGGCGUGAAACGGCAUGCGGCGAGAGAUAAGGGAAGAGAGAAAAUAAAUAAACAAGCAAGCAACAAG
Molecule: long non-coding RNA, 1389 nt
Organism: Hemibagrus wyckioides
Lineage: Eukaryota; Metazoa; Chordata; Actinopteri; Siluriformes; Bagridae
Exons: 2
Source: RefSeq, a predicted model, not a curated record